AAGGCCUAAGGGGGACUAGAGGUGGAGCAACGAAAAGCAGGAGCCUUAGUGAGCAGCAGAACAGGAUGAUGGCCUUUGCAUCAAUGGCUCAUCCCUUGGCUUGGUCCUGGAGUUGGCAUCGUCAGCAUUUAUAUGUUCCAUAUCUCUACCGUUUUUACUGAUCAGUUGCAUGAUUACUAUUUCCAAACCUGUUCACUUGUUUCAAUUUUCAUGUAUUUGAAUAAGCACGCUACGCUUGAUUUCUCCUCUAGCCCCAUCUGUUAUGGUUUGCUAGCUCUAUCCAUUAAAUUAGUAUGCAUGUAUGCAUUUACUAUAUAAUGCAAACCUAUGGGUUGCAGCCAUUGUAAUAAUAAACUUACUAUGAAUCUUAUUUCAAAGUUUAGUUGGCCAGGUGCCAUGGG
Molecule: small RNA, 401 nt
Filed under: Oryza sativa Japonica Group (Japanese rice)
Lineage: Eukaryota; Viridiplantae; Streptophyta; Magnoliopsida; Poales; Poaceae
Description: sRNA Os06g0163701
Source: RNAcentral